UCAGACAGAUGCGACGAGCCCGUCGACACAAACACAUGCUGCCCAUGGUGAUCGCCAGCUCCGAAGGUUGGAGCCAAAAGUCGAUGCCAUGUACGAUAACUUUGGAGCGUUUGCUAUGGGCCUCACGAGGGCUUUGGCCGAGGCUUUUGCACAGCAAGGAACGAUGUUAGAGUGGCCUCAAUUCAGGACAACAGUGCCAUAUCCACCACCACAUUCACUGGGACAUUGAAUACUUUAAGUUUGGGGGUAUUGGGGUAAUAGCAUAGUUGCAUGUAGUAUUUGCAUGUUUAGUUUAUUUGUUUAUGUGUUAGAAUUU
This 316-nucleotide long non-coding RNA is filed under the name Panax ginseng (ginseng). RNAcentral's name for it is "long non-coding RNA (PGIN_LNC004767)". The record is from RNAcentral. Lineage: Eukaryota; Viridiplantae; Streptophyta; Magnoliopsida; Apiales; Araliaceae.